CGGGCUGUAGCGCAGCUUGGUAGCGCACUCGGCUGGGGGCCGAGGUGUCGCAGGUUCAAAUCCUGUCAGCCCGA
Molecule: transfer RNA, 74 nt
Filed under: Aeriscardovia sp.
Lineage: Bacteria; Bacillati; Actinomycetota; Actinomycetes; Bifidobacteriales; Bifidobacteriaceae
Description: tRNA-Pro
Rfam family: tRNA
About the family: Transfer RNA (tRNA) molecules are approximately 80 nucleotides in length.
Source: RNAcentral